Unclassified non-coding RNA from Vespa mandarinia (Asian giant hornet), 1468 nucleotides. NCBI's taxonomy places the organism in Eukaryota, Metazoa, Arthropoda, Insecta, Hymenoptera, Vespidae. The record is from RefSeq and is a predicted model, not a curated record.
UGGCGGAGGAGUGGUUGCGUCGUCGUCGUCGUCGUCGUCGGUCGGAUCGGGAAGCAGCAGCAGCAGCAGCAGGCAGAACCGACGCACCACGAGGGGGCAGUUUCACUACAAGUUCGCUUCCGAAUUCUCCUUCGAGGAGCAAAUACUGAGAUAUAUAUAUUGUAUAUACAUAGCACACAUACAUAUAUAUAUCUUGUUAUUAUAGCCAGGUUUCUUUUCUUUAUCGUACGCGUCUACAAAUUGAGGGAAGGAGGGAAGGAGGAGAAGGGAAAGAGAAAGAGGAGGAGGAAGAAGGCAAAACUAUUCACGUCAUACGGCCGAUGACGUCGAAAGAGAGAGAGAGAGAGAGUAUAAAUCCUUCGUGUAACUUCGGUGCCUUCGUCGUUAAUACACCACUCCUACGAUCGAUAGAGGACACGCACUCAACGUCUACGCCAUUUGAAUAUUUUAAAGCGAACCUCUCGCAUUUUUAAAAUGCGAAUAUAGACGACGAUGACGACGACGACGACACCGGCUUGCUGGUCGUCAUUUUGAAAUAUCCUACGCUACCCAGUAAUAAUAUUGGUCAGUUUACAUCUAUCAAUUUUCGUAAGACGAAGGGUAAUAUAGAAGAACAUGCUGGACAUGAAGAUGACAAGAUUUCCAUGUGAAAAAGUAUGUUAAAGGGACGAUCAUCUCUGUUCGUGCCUAUUUCGUUAAAAAUAAAGAUCUAUUAUCGACGUAAAAAAAGUGCGAGAGAGAGAAAGAGAGAGAAAAAGAGAGAUACGCGACGAAUGAACGAAACAAAAAUUUUUUUAAUUAAAUAUAAAAAGAAGAAAGAAAAAAUGAGGGAUACUAAGUAAAAAAGAAAGGACAUCGAGACACAAAAAAAAAAAUCAACUUCGAAGCCGGCUCUGAAGUAUCGCGAUACUUACGUACGAAAUGAGCCCUGAACAAAGGAGGAAAUUAUUCGCGUCUCAUCUUGAAACAAUUGUUCGCCUUUUCGCGAAGAAGGUAAAACGGAUGAAAGGAGGAACUGCUACCGGGAUGUUUACCGAGUAUCGACGCCGAGCCACUGUAACAGAGAGCGUAUGUAGAGAGAAAGAGAGCGAGUAAGAUAGAAACAGAAGAGAGAGGUAGGGCUAGAGGUAGAGGGAAGGCGGGAGAGAGGAGAGAAAAGAGAAAAGAGAGAGAGAGAGAGAGGUGGUGAAGGAGAGGAACGAGAGAAUCUCGAAGCAGCAGGGUUCGAAAUCCGUCGUCCUAUCACACGAACGCAUCCGAUUCACUGAGAAAAGCGACUCGACGAAUCACAGAUCGCAGUAUGCGGCCAGGCAUUGGCAACGCGAGCGAGAGGAUUCCGCGGUGUCGGACCUUUCGGCGAUGCGGCUACGCGCUGGAGUGUAUGAACCGUGCUGAUCUAACCUAACGUUCAUGUCGCAUACACACGACGAAGAAAGAAGCUUUAGGGCGAAUGCCGAGAGCAAAUAAA